Molecule: ribosomal RNA, 1280 nt
Filed under: Microbacterium sp. ALBL_061
Lineage: Bacteria; Bacillati; Actinomycetota; Actinomycetes; Micrococcales; Microbacteriaceae
Description: bacterial SSU rRNA
Rfam family: Bacterial small subunit ribosomal RNA
Source: RNAcentral
CUACCAUGCAAGUCGAACGGUGAACCGGAGCUUGCUCUGUGGGAUCAGUGGCGAACGGGUGAGUAACACGUGAGCAACCUGCCCCUGACUCUGGGAUAAGCGCUGGAAACGGCGUCUAAUACUGGAUAUGUGACGUGACCGCAUGGUCUGCGUCUGGAAAGAAUUUCGGUUGGGGAUGGGCUCGCGGCCUAUCAGCUUGUUGGUGAGGUAAUGGCUCACCAAGGCGUCGACGGGUAGCCGGCCUGAGAGGGUGACCGGCCACACUGGGACUGAGACACGGCCCAGACUCCUACGGGAGGCAGCAGUGGGGAAUAUUGCACAAUGGGCGCAAGCCUGAUGCAGCAACGCCGCGUGAGGGACGACGGCCUUCGGGUUGUAAACCUCUUUUAGCAGGGAAGAAGCGAAAGUGACGGUACCUGCAGAAAAAGCGCCGGCUAACUACGUGCCAGCAGCCGCGGUAAUACGUAGGGCGCAAGCGUUAUCCGGAAUUAUUGGGCGUAAAGAGCUCGUAGGCGGUUUGUCGCGUCUGCUGUGAAAUCCGGAGGCUCAACCUCCGGCCUGCAGUGGGUACGGGCAGACUAGAGUGCGGUAGGGGAGAUUGGAAUUCCUGGUGUAGCGGUGGAAUGCGCAGAUAUCAGGAGGAACACCGAUGGCGAAGGCAGAUCUCUGGGCCGUAACUGACGCUGAGGAGCGAAAGGGUGGGGAGCAAACAGGCUUAGAUACCCUGGUAGUCCACCCCGUAAACGUUGGGAACUAGUUGUGGGGUCCAUUCCACGGAUUCCGUGACGCAGCUAACGCAUUAAGUUCCCCGCCUGGGGAGUACGGCCGCAAGGCUAAAACUCAAAGGAAUUGACGGGGACCCGCACAAGCGGCGGAGCAUGCGGAUUAAUUCGAUGCAACGCGAAGAACCUUACCAAGGCUUGACAUAUACGAGAACGGGCCAGAAAUGGUCAACUCUUUGGACACUCGUAAACAGGUGGUGCAUGGUUGUCGUCAGCUCGUGUCGUGAGAUGUUGGGUUAAGUCCCGCAACGAGCGCAACCCUCGUUCUAUGUUGCCAGCACGUAAUGGUGGGAACUCAUGGGAUACUGCCGGGGUCAACUCGGAGGAAGGUGGGGAUGACGUCAAAUCAUCAUGCCCCUUAUGUCUUGGGCUUCACGCAUGCUACAAUGGCCGGUACAAAGGGCUGCAAUACCGCGAGGUGGAGCGAAUCCCAAAAAGCCGGUCCCAGUUCGGAUUGAGGUCUGCAACUCGACCUCAUGAAGUCGGAGUCGCUAGUAU